GGGAGCGUGGUGGAAUUGGUAGACGCACCGCACUCAAAAUGCGGCACCUUCGGGUUUGUCGGUUCGAGUCCGACCGCUCCCA
RNAcentral lists this transfer RNA (82 nucleotides) under Prochlorococcus marinus str. MIT 9211. Its description in RNAcentral is "tRNA-Leu (CAA) (tRNA-Leu-CAA-1-1)". It matches the Rfam family "tRNA". Rfam says of the family: Transfer RNA (tRNA) molecules are approximately 80 nucleotides in length. The record is from Rfam by way of RNAcentral. Lineage: Bacteria; Bacillati; Cyanobacteriota; Cyanophyceae; Synechococcales; Prochlorococcaceae. RNAcentral also lists the same sequence under 3 other names.